CAUGUAUUUCCUAUUCUGUCUGGUUGGCUUGCUGCUAAAAACUCAGAAUAGAGAAGAGAAGACAGUCUUGCGGAGGGUCAAAGGAGCCACCGUUGGUAGUUAUUUGGGAUCUUUGAGGAAACCCCUGCUAAAAUAACUUGAUUGGAGAUUUUCCUUAGUCUGGACCAAACCUUCCCAUUAUUGGACACAGAUGGUCAGCUAGUAAUCAAUCAUCUAUAAUUAUGCUUUGGAAAAACCUCAUGAGCAAAGACCCUCAACUUGUAGUCAAAGCUACAAUUUGACAUUUCCCAGGAUUGGACGAGGCUGGUAAGGUGAAAGAGUAGAGGCCUGAAGAUUCCAGAGAGCUAGUGACAACAUCACUGAAGUGGUUGAGAUCCACAGUGUGUCAGGAGGUGUUUCUAGAGAGGUACAGUAGAUGGGAAAUGAGAGGACAAGAAUUCAGUAAGCUCCUUAACCUCCUGCCUCAUUUAUCAAAUGGGUCUGAUGAAAGUGAUAUAUGUGAAAGCACCUGGCAUAAUAUUGGUCAGAUUGUGGUGCUUGAUGAUAGAAUGGUGCAUAAAUAAAUAAACAGAGGCUCUCAAUCAA
Long non-coding RNA from Nomascus leucogenys (northern white-cheeked gibbon), 585 nucleotides. RefSeq lists it as uncharacterized. The record is from RefSeq and is a predicted model, not a curated record. The transcript is spliced from 3 exons. Lineage: Eukaryota; Metazoa; Chordata; Mammalia; Primates; Hylobatidae.